AUCAGGGGUAAACCUGUGGAACUCGAACGAUCGAACGGAGAGAUUCAUCGCGUUUCGGGGGCGUGCGCYGUUGUUGUAGUCGUUCGCGYUUCGGCGCGGGCGGAGASUGCGGCGUCGCMCAGYUCYCGAAACGCGCGCACUUCUCUCUCAGUACAACACCGCGACCCGUUGCGCGRGGGUCGAACGCGCCGUGCGGUUGUCCCGGCGGGGUCGCUCGCGACCCCGUCGGAGCCGCGGCGUCGCGACCUCCGCGCGACGGUAACGAACGAGGAUCGAGUCCGCCCUCUCGAGGGCGUCCGCGUCGCAGCGGCGGCGCUCCCCGCCCGGCCCUCGGCGCCGCGAGGCGUCGACGGUGUCGGGCGUCGGCGAACGCCAGGGCGUCGCUCAGCUGCGGCGGCUCGGACGGGACUCGCCCCGGUCAGCGGUGGUUUUGUUUCGGGCACUCMCAGGACCCGUCUUGAAAC
Molecule: ribosomal RNA, 464 nt
Filed under: Diplectrona zealandensis
Lineage: Eukaryota; Metazoa; Arthropoda; Insecta; Trichoptera; Hydropsychidae
Description: partial 28S ribosomal RNA
Source: RNAcentral